Molecule: ribosomal RNA, 550 nt
Filed under: uncultured bacterium
Lineage: Bacteria
Description: bacterial SSU rRNA
Rfam family: Bacterial small subunit ribosomal RNA
Source: RNAcentral
UAGGGAAUCUUCGGCAAUGGGGGCAACCCUGACCGAGCAACGCCGCGUGAGUGAAGAAGGUUUUCGGAUCGUAAAGCUCUGUUGUAAGUCAAGAACGAGUGUGAGAGUGGAAAGUUCACACUGUGACGGUAGCUUACCAGAAAGGGACGGCUAACUACGUGCCAGCAGCCGCGGUAAUACGUAGGUCCCGAGCGUUGUCCGGAUUUAUUGGGCGUAAAGCGAGCGCAGGCGGUUUGAUAAGUCUGAAGUUAAAGGCUGUGGCUCAACCAUAGUUCGCUUUGGAAACUGUCAAACUUGAGUGCAGAAGGGGAGGGUGGAAUUCCAUGUGUAGCGGUGAAAUGCGUAGAUAUAUGGAGGAACACCGGUGGCGAAAGCGGCUCUCUGGUCUGUAACUGACGCUGAGGCUCGAAAGCGUGGGGAGCGAACAGGAUUAGAUACCUUGGUAGUCCACGCCGUAAACGAUGAGUGCUAGGUGUUGGAUCCUUUCCGGGAUUCAGUGCCGCAGCUAACGCAUUAAGCACUCCGCCUGGGGAGUACGGCCGCAAGGUUG